RNAcentral lists this ribosomal RNA (253 nucleotides) under uncultured bacterium. RNAcentral describes it as "partial 16S ribosomal RNA". It matches the Rfam family "Bacterial small subunit ribosomal RNA", at positions 524 to 776 of the family's 1533-position model. The record is from RNAcentral.
UACGUAGGGGGCAAGCGUUGUCCGGAUUUAUUGGGCGUAAAGCGCUCGCAGGCGGUCCGCUGCGUCGUGCGUGAAAGACCCCGGCUCAACUGGGGGAUGUCGUGCGAUACGGGCGGACUGGAGGCCAGUAGGGGGAUGCGGAAUUCCGGGUGUAGUGGUGGAAUGCGUAGAGAUCCGGAGGAACACCAGCGGCGAAGGCGGCAUCCUGGACUGGUCCUGACACUCAGGAGCGAAAGCGUGGGGAGCGAUCCGG